UCCGAGUUGACCCCGGCAGUCUCCCAUGAGUCCCCGCCAUUACGCGCUGGCAACAUGGAACGAGGGUUGCGCUCGUUGCGGGACUUAACCCAACAUCUCACGACACGAGCUGACGACAGCCAUGCAGCACCUCGACUACAGUCUCUUGCGAGAAGUCCCUGUUUCCAAGGAUUGUCCAUAGCCGUUCGAGCCCAGGUAAGGUUCUUCGCGUUGCGUCGAAUUGAUCCACAUGCUCCGCCGCUUGUGCGGGCCCCCGUCAAUUCCUUUGAGUUUCAGCCUUGCGGCCGUACUCCCCAGGCGGGGCACUUAAUGCGUUAGCGACGACACUCAGGGGGUCGCUCCCCCAAGCAUCUAGUGCCCAUCGUUUACGACGUGGACUAC
Molecule: unclassified non-coding RNA, 381 nt
Filed under: uncultured bacterium
Lineage: Bacteria
Description: contains 16S-23S intergenic spacer region
Source: RNAcentral